This 468-nucleotide ribosomal RNA is filed under the name uncultured bacterium. Its description in RNAcentral is "bacterial SSU rRNA". It matches the Rfam family "Bacterial small subunit ribosomal RNA", at positions 8 to 524 of the family's 1533-position model. The record is from RNAcentral.
AGAGUUUGAUCCUGGCUCAGAACGAACGCUGGCGGCAGGCUUAACACAUGCAAGUCGAGCGCCCCGCAAGGGGAGCGGCAGACGGGUGAGUAACGCGUGGGAACAUACCCUUUGGUUCGGAAUAACUCAGGGAAACUUGAGCUAAUACCGGAUACGUCCGUAAGGAGAAAGAUUUAUCGCCAAAGGAUUGGCCCGCGUCCGAUUAGCUAGUUGGUGAGGUAACGGCUCACCAAGGCUACGAUCGGUAGCUGGUCUGAGAGGAUGAUCAGCCACAUUGGGACUGAGACACGGCCCAAACUCCUACGGGAGGCAGCAGUGGGGAAUAUUGGACAAUGGGCGCAAGCCUGAUCCAGCAAUGCCGCGUGAGUGAUGAAGGCCUUAGGGUCGUAAAGCUCUUUUACCAGGGAUGAUAAUGACAGUACCUGGAGAAUAAGCUCCGGCUAACUCCGUGCCAGCAGCCGCGGUAAU